This 228-nucleotide ribosomal RNA is filed under the name uncultured bacterium. Its description in RNAcentral is "partial 16S ribosomal RNA". It matches the Rfam family "Bacterial small subunit ribosomal RNA", at positions 568 to 796 of the family's 1533-position model. The record is from RNAcentral.
UGCGUAGGCGGCCAGAAAAGUCAGAGGUGAAAGGCUACGGCUUAACCGUAGUAAGCCUUUGAAACUAUUUGGCUUGAGUGCAGGAGAGGAAAGUGGAAUUCCUAGUGUAGCGGUGAAAUGCGUAGAUAUUAGGAGGAACACCAGUGGCGAAGGCGACUUUCUGGACUGUAACUGACGCUGAGGCACGAAAGCGUGGGGAGCAAACAGGAUUAGAUACCCUGGUAGUCC